AGACUUCCGGAUCGGCGCCGAGAUUUCUCCGAACACCAGACCAUCAGCACUGAUGAGACUCCCAAGAUAAGUGAAACG
Molecule: non-coding RNA, 78 nt
Organism: Schistosoma haematobium
Lineage: Eukaryota; Metazoa; Platyhelminthes; Trematoda; Strigeidida; Schistosomatidae
Source: Rfam